CUUGGCUCACCAGGUGCGAGUCGACUCCCGCGCACAUCACACGUGGAGUAAGGGGCUCAUUCGGCGGCUCGACCUCGCGUGUUGUGAAGCGUCUGACGGUGUCUCUUGCACGUGCGUGUGUGCGCGUGUGGGUUCGGUGCUUUGUGAAGUUAUUCUGUAUCCCAUCGGUGAGAAAAACUGUGUGUGUAUAUCGUAUAGUGUAAAAAUAAUUAAGUGAUUAAGAUAUAUACUAAAUAUUCCACUUGAUAUAAAAGAAAGAUGUGACUAACCAUAUACCGGAGAACGUGAAGUGUCUACUUGCUCCAUAUAUAUAACUACACGAUGUAGCGAGUUGGAUCGGAUUUCAUCAAAACCCAACCAAAAAUGAUAAUAAUUGUUUUGGGUUCCUUUUCUCAUGUGUGGGAAGUGUGUCGUGUGUAAGCCCAUAAACGAAAACUAAUUGAAGAAAACAAACACCAAGAUGACGUGACAGACACAAGUCAUCUCUCCAUCACAGUCUAACCGCAGGAACUCUCCGGCCAAUCAAAUCUUCAGCUCUUCUGAUUAAGAGGGAAAAAAAAGAGGAAAAAAUAUGACAAGAUCUGAAUCUGUGACCUCGACAGUGUUAUUCUGAACGCUGUCUGUCCGUCCCCUCUCCUGCUCGCGUGUCUGUGUCUACGAAGCGUGUCUGGCGUGACGUCAUGGAGAGGCUUAUCAGGUCCCUGGCGAGAUGCCUCAAAUUCUCGUGGUAAGUCAAACAUCACUUUGUUCGUGUUUCACUCUUUAAUACUUUGUAUUUUUUCAUUUCGUUAUUGUGAUUUAUAUUCAUUUAGUUUCUAGAUAUGUAAAAGGUAGAAAGAAUGUAGUCAAAAUCCAUUAAAAAAAUACUCAUUCACACGUCCACAAAACAAACACAAAGUUAACCAUUAUUGCCUUUAAUUAAAACUGAUCGAAAUCACAGGAAAUCAAUCCCGUUCGGCCCACAGUACACACCUACACUAGCAGCAAGGUUUAUCCAGGGGCACCCCCCCACCCCCCUCCGCCCGCCCCAACACCCCACGCAUUCUCUUGUUCGCUUGCAAGAACUAGCAAGCAACCUCACCCUCUAGUCUUAAGGUCAGAAGGUGAUCAAUUGCUCCUGUCCUUGGAGUUGCCAUGAUGAUGUGAAGAUCAGAUUGUUCUUGUCUUUGCUACGGCUUGAGUAGGGUCUUUGUUAAAGUGGUUCGUUAAGAUGCAAUAGUCUUGAUAUGUUUCAUGUAUGUCAGGUUAAAAAAAAUGUUUUUUGGUAAUUAUCAUUGCAUUGAUGAUGAUAAAACUGUGACUAUCAUACCAGACUCUAAUGAUUAGGAAAGCCUUGAUUUGGAUAAGUCUGUGAUUAUCAUUCCUUGUUAUUGAUGUCAUUACUUCAAUUACUAAUUACUAAUUAAUCUAAUUUCCAAAAUUGGCAGUGGAAGAUGAAGCGAUAGACAUACAAUCAUAAUAAAAACAGAACUAUCAGGAACGCAA
RNAcentral lists this long non-coding RNA (1485 nucleotides) under Penaeus japonicus. RNAcentral describes it as "uncharacterized LOC122258548". Lineage: Eukaryota; Metazoa; Arthropoda; Malacostraca; Decapoda; Penaeidae. The record is from RNAcentral.